Molecule: long non-coding RNA, 665 nt
Filed under: Lathyrus oleraceus (garden pea)
Lineage: Eukaryota; Viridiplantae; Streptophyta; Magnoliopsida; Fabales; Fabaceae
Description: Pisum sativum (pea) long non-coding RNA (PSAT_LNC009632)
Source: RNAcentral
GAUUAUUAAGCUCUGAAUUGGGAGUGGAAGAGUCUGUGUAUGUUGGGGUUCUUUCUCUCCUUCCUUCCUAUGGAUCUUCAUGUCGUCUCUCUUAAUUCUGGGAUGAAGAAUCGAAAACAAGACGAACAACAUGUAACCUUUCCUUUUCUUUCAUUUUUUUUUCUAAUUUUUUAACUGUUUUUCUCUUGAUCGUGAUUUUUCAGGGUUUUGUAUUCGACCAACUUCACUACUUUGAUUCUUUGUUUGUUUGAUUUUCUUCUCUUCGUGUUUUGAUAUCUUGAUCAUUUGAUGUUAUGUUAAAUAUAUAGCUAUAUUUUUGAAGCAACAACUAACUACAUCUCUUGAGAAAGUAAGAUUUUAGGCUUCUACGUGAUAAUCUAGAGCUAUACUUUUGAAGCAACAACUAACUGCAUAUUUUGAGAAAGUUACUCCAUCUCUUAAAGUGUGUAUUAAGGUAUCAUGUUGUACUCUGAAACUCUGUAAUUAUUUCUAAUAUAUAAACUAUGAACUAUUAGUGUUCAUGAUGGAAAAUCAUUUGGUAGUCUAUGAGGCAAUAUGGUAAUAAUUUAUGUCAUGAAUUUCCUUUUUUUAUUCCUGUCAGGUUGUUGUUCUCAAAGAUAGUCCAAGAGGGACACAUUUUCGUUGCGCUGGACCAUAGAACAUGG